Molecule: long non-coding RNA, 367 nt
Organism: Vespula vulgaris
Lineage: Eukaryota; Metazoa; Arthropoda; Insecta; Hymenoptera; Vespidae
Exons: 2
Source: RefSeq, a predicted model, not a curated record
ACGGCUUAUUGGAGCAUCGCUAAAGUCACAUGACCAACUUGCCGAUAGAAAACGUGCACAUGCACUUUCGAAGGUUGCUUCAAACUGUAUGCGUUAGAUAGGUUAUGAAGAGUAUAGAGUAUAUGUAAUGGAAAUGUUACAUACCUAUUACGUGGAACGCUAAACCAAUAUUCAGGACGCAGCUUCUUCUUGCCAUAACUCAUAAUAGGCGUAGAUCGUGGUAUUUUUUUAUCUUUAGGUCUACCAGUCCGUAGUCUCAGGUACAACGGAGGAUCUUCGCAAGAUCGUGCAGGUCGUGGUAUCAGUUCUGUAUAAUUGGAAUAAAAAUAUUUCAUUGUAAUAGAUUAAAGUACAUAAUUAUCUUAGA